Molecule: ribosomal RNA, 2099 nt
Filed under: Enterobacter sp. MGH 9
Lineage: Bacteria; Pseudomonadati; Pseudomonadota; Gammaproteobacteria; Enterobacterales; Enterobacteriaceae
Description: bacterial LSU rRNA
Rfam family: Bacterial large subunit ribosomal RNA
Source: RNAcentral
UUCUCCCCGAAAGCUAUUUAGGUAGCGCCUCGUGAACUCAUCUUCGGGGGUAGAGCACUGUUUCGGCUAGGGGGCCAUCCCGGCUUACCAACCCGAUGCAAACUACGAAUACCGAAGAAUGUUAUCACGGGAGACACACGGCGGGUGCUAACGUCCGUCGUGAAGAGGGAAACAACCCAGACCGCCAGCUAAGGUCCCAAAGUCAUGGUUAAGUGGGAAACGAUGUGGGAAGGCACAGACAGCCAGGAUGUUGGCUUAGAAGCAGCCAUCAUUUAAAGAAAGCGUAAUAGCUCACUGGUCGAGUCGGCCUGCGCGGAAGAUGUAACGGGGCUAAACCAUGCACCGAAGCUGCGGCAGCGACGCUUAGGCGUUGUUGGGUAGGGGAGCGUUCUGUAAGCCGUUGAAGGUGUGCUGUGAGGCAUGCUGGAGGUAUCAGAAGUGCGAAUGCUGACAUAAGUAACGAUAAAGCGGGUGAAAAGCCCGCUCGCCGGAAGACCAAGGGUUCCUGUCCAACGUUAAUCGGGGCAGGGUGAGUCGACCCCUAAGGCGAGGCCGAAAGGCGUAGUCGAUGGGAAACAGGUUAAUAUUCCUGUACUUGGUGUUACUGCGAAGGGGGGACGGAGAAGGCUAUGUCAGCCGGGCGACGGUUGUCCCGGUUUAAGCAUGUAGGCGGAGGUUCCAGGUAAAUCCGGUACCUUAUUAACGCUGAGGUGUGAUGACGAGGCACUACGGUGCUGAAGUGAUAAAUGCCCUGCUUCCAGGAAAAGCCUCUAAGCAUCAGGUAACACGAAAUCGUACCCCAAACCGACACAGGUGGUCAGGUAGAGAAUACCAAGGCGCUUGAGAGAACUCGGGUGAAGGAACUAGGCAAAAUGGUGCCGUAACUUCGGGAGAAGGCACGCUGAUAUGUAGGUGAAGUCCCUGCGGACGGAGCUGAAAUCAGUCGAAGAUACCAGCUGGCUGCAACUGUUUAUUAAAAACACAGCACUGUGCAAACACGAAAGUGGACGUAUACGGUGUGACGCCUGCCCGGUGCCGGAAGGUUAAUUGAUGGGGUUAGCGGCAACGCGAAGCUCUUGAUCGAAGCCCCGGUAAACGGCGGCCGUAACUAUAACGGUCCUAAGGUAGCGAAAUUCCUUGUCGGGUAAGUUCCGACCUGCACGAAUGGCGUAAUGAUGGCCAGGCUGUCUCCACCCGAGACUCAGUGAAAUUGAACUCGCUGUGAAGAUGCAGUGUACCCGCGGCAAGACGGAAAGACCCCGUGAACCUUUACUAUAGCUUGACACUGAACACUGGUCCUUGAUGUGUAGGAUAGGUGGGAGGCUUUGAAGCGUGGACGCCAGUCUGCGUGGAGCCAACCUUGAAAUACCACCCUUUAAUGGCUGGUGUUCUAACGUAGACCCGUAAUCCGGGUUGCGGACAGUGUCUGGUGGGUAGUUUGACUGGGGCGGUCUCCUCCCAAAGAGUAACGGAGGAGCACGAAGGUUGGCUAAUCCUGGUCGGACAUCAGGAGGUUAGUGCAAUGGCAUAAGCCAGCUUGACUGCGAGCGUGACGGCGCGAGCAGGUGCGAAAGCAGGUCAUAGUGAUCCGGUGGUUCUGAAUGGAAGGGCCAUCGCUCAACGGAUAAAAGGUACUCCGGGGAUAACAGGCUGAUACCGCCCAAGAGUUCAUAUCGACGGCGGUGUUUGGCACCUCGAUGUCGGCUCAUCACAUCCUGGGGCUGAAGUAGGUCCCAAGGGUAUGGCUGUUCGCCAUUUAAAGUGGUACGCGAGCUGGGUUUAGAACGUCGUGAGACAGUUCGGUCCCUAUCUGCCGUGGGCGCUGGAGAAUUGAGGGGGGCUGCUCCUAGUACGAGAGGACCGGAGUGGACGCAUCACUGGUGUUCGGGUUGUCAUGCCAAUGGCACUGCCCGGUAGCUAAAUGCGGAAGAGAUAAGUGCUGAAAGCAUCUAAGCACGAAACUUGCCCCGAGAUGAGUUCUCCCUGAGACUUUAAGUCUCCUGAAGGAACGUUGAAGACGACGACGUUGAUAGGUCGGGUGUGUAAGCGCAGCGAUGCGUUGAGCUAACCGAUACUAAUGAACCGUGAGGCUUAACCUU